GUCCUUUAAUUGGGGACUUGUAUGAAUGGUUUGAUGAAGGAUUACCUUUCUUUAUUUUUAUAUAUAAUAAUUUAAUUUAUAAGUUAAAAAGCUUAUAUUAUUUUAAAUGACGAGAAGACCCUGUAGAACUUUACUAUAAUGAAUAUACUGUUUAAUAUAUAUUAUUAAAUAAAUAGUUAUUUAUAAAUAGUUUUGUUGGGGUGACAGUUAAAUUUAUUAAACUUUAAUUUGAAUUAAUUCAUUAAUUAGUGAUUUAUAUUGAUCCUAUAUUAUAGAUUAUAAGAAUAAGUUACCUCAGGGAUAACAGCGUAAUUCUAUUGGAGAGUUCAUAUUAAUAAUAGAGUUUGCGACCUCGAUGUUGGAUUAA
RNAcentral lists this ribosomal RNA (367 nucleotides) under Nabis ferus. RNAcentral's name for it is "partial 16S ribosomal RNA". Lineage: Eukaryota; Metazoa; Arthropoda; Insecta; Hemiptera; Nabidae. The record is from RNAcentral.